AUUGAACGCUGGCGGCAGGCUUAACACAUGCAAGUCGAGCGGGGGAAGGUAGCUUGCUACCGGACCUAGCGGCGGACGGGUGAGUAAUGCUUAGGAAUCUGCCUAUUAGUGGGGGACUACAUCUCGAAAGGGAUGCUAAUACCGCAUACGUCCUACGGGAGAAAGCAGGGGAUCUUCGGACCUUGCGCUAAUAGAUGAGCCUAAGUCGGAUUAGCUAGUUGGUGGGGUAAAGGCCUACCAAGGCGACGAUCUGUAGCGGGUCUGAGAGGAUGAUCCGCCACACUGGGACUGAGACACGGCCCAGACUCCUACGGGAGGCAGCAGUGGGGAAUAUUGGACAAUGGGGGGAACCCUGAUCCAGCCAUGCCGCGUGUGUGAAGAAGGCCUUAUGGUUGUAAAGCACUUUAAGCGAGGAGGAGGCUCUUUUGGUUAAUACCCAGAAUGAGUGGACGUUACUCGCAGAAUAAGCACCGGCUAACUCUGUGCCAGCCGCCGCCGUAA
Molecule: ribosomal RNA, 501 nt
Filed under: uncultured bacterium
Lineage: Bacteria
Description: partial 16S ribosomal RNA
Rfam family: Bacterial small subunit ribosomal RNA
Source: RNAcentral